UACGUAGGGUGCGAGCGUUGUCCGGAAUUACUGGGCGUAAAGAGCUCGUAGGUGGUUUGUCGCGUUGUCCGUGAAAACUCACAACUCAAUUGUGGGCGUGCGGGCGAUACGGGCAGACUGGAGUACUGCAGGGGAGACUGGAAUUCCUGGUGUAGCGGUGGAAUGCGUAGAUAUCCGAAAGAACACCGGUGGCGAAGGCGGUGGUCUGGGCCUGAACUGACGCUGAGGCGCGAAAGCCAGGGGAGCAAACGGG
Molecule: ribosomal RNA, 253 nt
Filed under: uncultured bacterium
Lineage: Bacteria
Description: partial 16S ribosomal RNA
Rfam family: Bacterial small subunit ribosomal RNA
Source: RNAcentral